ACUGAAUAGAUACCCGGGUAGUCCACGCCCUAAACGAUGAUUACUCGACAUACGCGAUACACAGUGUGUGUCUGAGCGAAAGCAUUAAGUAAUCCACCUGGGAAGUACGUCCGCAAGGAUGAAACUCAAAGGAAUUGACGGGGGUCCGCACAAGCGGUGGAGUAUGUGGUUUAAUUCGAUGAUACGCGAGGAACCUUACCUGGGCUAGAAUGCUAUCUGACUGUACCUGAAAGGGUAUUUUGUAGCAAUACACAGAUAGUAAGGUGCUGCAUGGCUGUCGUCAGCUCGUGCCGUGAGGUGUUGGGUUAAGUCCCGCAACGAGCGCAACCCCCGAUCUUCAGUUGCCAGCACGUAAUGGUGGGAACUCUGAAGAAACUGCCGUCGUAAGACGCGAGGAAGGAGGGGAUGAUGUCAAGUCAUCAUGGCCUUUAUGCCCAGGGCUACACACGUACUACAAUGGGGAGGACAAAGGGCAGCGACCUGGUAACAGGAAGC
This 495-nucleotide ribosomal RNA is filed under the name uncultured bacterium. RNAcentral's name for it is "bacterial SSU rRNA". It matches the Rfam family "Bacterial small subunit ribosomal RNA", at positions 772 to 1268 of the family's 1533-position model. The record is from RNAcentral.